RNAcentral lists this ribosomal RNA (50 nucleotides) under Blysmus compressus. RNAcentral describes it as "partial 26S ribosomal RNA". Lineage: Eukaryota; Viridiplantae; Streptophyta; Magnoliopsida; Poales; Cyperaceae. The record is from RNAcentral.
GAUACCCCAGGUCAGGCGGGGCUACCCGCCUAGUUUAAGCAUAUCAAUAA